Molecule: ribosomal RNA, 424 nt
Filed under: uncultured bacterium
Lineage: Bacteria
Description: bacterial SSU rRNA
Rfam family: Bacterial small subunit ribosomal RNA
Source: RNAcentral
UGGGGAAUCUUGCGCAAUGGGCGAAAGCCUGACGCAGCGACGCCGCGUGAGCGAUGAAGGCCCUCGGGUUGUAAAGCUCUGUGGAGAGGGAAGAAUAAGGGUACGUUAACACCGUACUCGAUGACGGUACCUCUUUAGCAAGCACCGGCUAACUCUAUGCCAGCAGCCGCGGUAAGACAGAGGGUGCAAACGUUGUUCGGAAUUACUGGGCGUAAAGCGCGUGUAGGCGGCGACGCAAGUCGGAUGUGAAAGCCCAUGGCUCAACCAUGGAAGUGCACCCGAAACUGCGUCGCUAGAGUCUCGGAGAGGAAGGUGGAAUGCUUGGUGUAGAGGUGAAAUUCGUAGAUAUCAAGCGGAACACCGGUGGCGAAGGCGGCCUUCUGGACGAGUACUGACGCUGAGACGCGAAAGCGUGGGUAGCAAA